GAUUCCACCUCUGUACUUGUUCCACAUAUCUCCUCACUCCUCAACUCUUAUGUUCCUCGUGCUCCUUCCUCCCACCUCCCCUCUCAGUCAUUGUACUUCCUUUCUCCUCUAUCCGACAUGUAUAUAAUAUGAAGCUGAUCAUAUACGAAACAUUAAUUCAUAUCCGCAGAUAAUGUAAACUGAUGAAUUUAAGUUGCCAUUCGCCCAUGAAUACACUGCUGCUUCUGACUCAUGAUCAUGCAAUGUAUCAGAAGCCAGUUUGGCAGGAUGAGAUGAGAGCUGACUUCUAGUACAUUGUUUAAAUAAGUCAGUUGACCAGAAAGGGACAAUUUUACAUCUUUAAAGGAUAAGUAAAGCUUUAAAAUAAGUGAAUGUAAAAUUGAUGAUUGUGCUGUUCUACAACAGUGCCGCCUGCUGGGCAGUUUCCCACCAUCUGACCACCAAGUAGUCAAGGAGGUUGCCAGGAGAAAGAAAGAGGCUGCUCUGAUGUUCUUUUGCUUAAGACAAAAUAUAGAAAGAUUUCUCACAAUCCUAAGCAGAUAGGGUUGCCACCCGGCCGGUAUUUUACCGACCUAGCCGAUAAAUGGUUAUGAUUGGUUUGGGAGCUACCAGGGAUUAUGGGAACUUGUAUUUGUACAGGAGGUACAGUUGUAUGGGGACUGGGCCUAAAUGGGGGCCUGACUGUGCUACUCUUUCCGAAUUAGCCGGAAUUGACAGCGCACAAGGUGAACCCGAAGCGCUGAUGUCUCAAAGUCCCGAAAACCAAAGAAGCUGUCAUCGCUGAGGACAAGGAAGAAGAACCUGAGGAAGUGGCAUUAGCCAUGAUGGUGCCAUGAUGGUGGGAGAGCGAGAUCCCUGGAGAGUUACAUCCAAGACAGUUGCCUUGCUUGAUGAAGUAUUAAGUGAGGGUCAGACUGGACCGGUGGGACACUAGGAGAAAACCUGGUGGGCCCUCAUGGGGCCCCGCCGACCCAGACCUGCCUGUCCUGUGCCGUCACGCACCUGAUCCUUCACCUGCCCUCUGCUGUUGCUACCCACCCUUCCUUCCUCAGAUCUCUGUAAAAGAAUAGUGCGCAUGGGGGGGAGGAGCCAGCAGUGGUUGAGUCGGUGGGUGGUGGGGCCCCACAGGAGGUGUAGGGGCCCAAGGUAAGAAGCCCCGAUGGGCCUUACACACUCCAGUCCACACCUGAUUCAUUUUAUCUUUAUUUUCAGGCCUUCUACUAUUCGUUUUCCACUCAUAACUAAUUAUUUGAAGACUAAUUGCAGAUUAGAGAUACUACUCUAUAUGUUAUAUCAAAACGACCAGUACCAUCAAAAAGUGAAAAUAAUUAUUUUCAUGUUACGAUUGUAUCUUGAUGCAGCAUCUACAAAAAAGCUAUUUCAUGUCAACAAAUGCCUUAUUUAAUAUGAGUGGUUUAGAUUGUAUAGUCUUGUAGAUGUAAAUAAGUAAAAAAAAAUGUAUUCACAUACCAUUUGUGUCCUAUGUUUCUGUCCUCAUUAGGACUUUUAUCAAGGAUACCGAACAGUAAUCAAUGUGCAACCUAAAUACACUCUAACAGGUGAACAAUGGUGCCAAAUUUGUGUCAGCUGCAUAUUAAUUAAUGUCCCAAUAACAUUCAUUCAAAUUCUGUGAAAGCCAUAUAAAAGAUUAUAUAGUGCAAACCUUGCCUUUGCCACUAGAUGUCGCUCAUAUGUUAAUAAAAUCACUAUGUGAAA
Xenopus laevis (African clawed frog) is the source of this 1716-nucleotide long non-coding RNA. RefSeq lists it as uncharacterized. Lineage: Eukaryota; Metazoa; Chordata; Amphibia; Anura; Pipidae. The transcript has 3 exons. The record is from RefSeq and is a predicted model, not a curated record.